GGACAUGACCGCUGUCGGGGUGGGACUAAGCCAUGCGAGUCGUACGCCCUGAGCAAUGACAGGGCGUGGCGCACGGCUCCGUAAAACGUGGCUAAACUACCCCCAGGACGAGAAUAACCCCGGGAAACUGGGGCUAAUUCUCGAUAGGUGCAAAGUUCUGGAAUGACUUUGCGCCAAAAAGGACUAGGAUCAUGCUUCCUAGCUCCGCCUGGGGAUGUGGCCACGGCCUAUCAGGUAGUUGGUGGGGUAACGGCCCACCAAGCCGAUAACGGGUACGGGCCCUGAGAGGGGGAGCCCGGAGAUGGCCACUGAGACAAGGGGCCAGGCCCUACGGGGUGCAGCAGGCGCGAAACCUCCGCAAUGGGCGAAAGCCCGACGGGGUCACCUCGAGUCCCGCCUGCUGAAGGUGGGUUUUCCCUGGUCUAAAAAGCCAGGGGAAUAAGCGGGGGGCAAGUCUGGUGUCAGCCGCCGCGGUAACACCAGCUCCGCGAGUGGUCAUGACGUUUAUUGGGCUUAAAGCAUCCGUAGCCGGCUUGGUGUGUCUCUGGUUAAAUCUCACGGCCUAACCGUGAGACGCCAGAGAUACUACCAAGCUAGGGGGUGGGAGAAGCCGGGGGUACUCCAGGGGUAGGGGCAAAAUCCUAUAAUCCCUGGAGGACCACCAGUGGCGAAGGCGCCCGGCUAGAACACGCCCGACGGUGAGGGAUGAAAGCUGGGGGAGCGAACCGGAUUAGAUACCCGGGUAGUCCCAGCUGUAAACGAUGCAGGCUAGGUGUCGGGUGGGCUUAGUGCUCACCCGGUGCCGAAGCGAAAGCGUUAAACCUGCCGCCUGGGGAGUACGGUCGCAAGGCUGAAACUUAAAGGAAUUGGCGGGGGGGCACCACAAGGGGUGAAUGCUGCGGUUUAAUUGGAGUCAACGCCGGGAACCUUACCAGGGGCGACAGCAGAAUGAUGGCCAGGCUGACGACCUUGCCUGACACGCUGAGAGGAGGUGCAUGGCCGUCGCCAGUUCGUGCCGUGAGGUGUCCGGUUAAGUCCGGAAACGAACGAGACCCCUACCUCUAGUUGCUAGUAGGUCUCUGCGGAGACCUACGCAAUACUAGAGGGACUGCCGGCGUUAAGCCGGAGGAAGGAAGGGGCUACGGCAGGUCAGUAUGCCCCGAAACCCCUGGGCUACACGCGGCAUGCAAUGGUGAGGACAGAGGGUUUCAACCCCGAAAGGGGGAGGUAAUCCCUAAACCUCACCUAAGUUGGAAUCGAGGGCUGCAACUCGCCCUCGUGAAUACGAAAUCCCUAGUAACCGCGUGUCACCAUCGCGCGGUGAAUACGUCCCUGCCCCU
Molecule: ribosomal RNA, 1340 nt
Filed under: uncultured archaeon
Lineage: Archaea
Description: bacterial SSU rRNA
Rfam family: Archaeal small subunit ribosomal RNA
Source: RNAcentral